This 121-nucleotide ribosomal RNA is filed under the name Haematococcus lacustris. Lineage: Eukaryota; Viridiplantae; Chlorophyta; Chlorophyceae; Chlamydomonadales; Haematococcaceae. The record is from RNAcentral.
CCUUGGUGCUCUAUGUUAGCUUGGACCCACACCUAACCAUCUCGAACUAGGUUGUGAAAUAGGCUAAAGGUUUAAUAUACUAUGGGCAAGGCCCAUUGGGAAAAUAAACUUAGUGCCAGGG